This 524-nucleotide ribosomal RNA is filed under the name uncultured bacterium. Its description in RNAcentral is "partial 16S ribosomal RNA". It matches the Rfam family "Bacterial small subunit ribosomal RNA", at positions 28 to 523 of the family's 1533-position model. The record is from RNAcentral.
GACGAACGCUGGCGGCGUGCCUAAUACAUGCAAGUCGAGCGCAGGAAACUGACGGAACUCUUCGGAGGGAAGGCAGCGGAAUGAGCGGCGGACGGGUGGGCAACACGUAAGGAACCUGCCUCAAGGAUUGGGAUAACUCCGAGAAAUCGGAGCUAAUACCGGAUAGUUCAUCGGACCGCAUGGUCCGUUGAUGAAAGGCGCUCCGGCGUCACCUUGAGAUGGCCUUGCGGUGCAUUAGCUAGUUGGUGGGGUAACGGCCCACCAAGGCGACGAUGCAUAGCCGACCUGAGAGGGUGAUCGGCCACACUGGGACUGAGACACGGCCCAGACUCCUACGGGAGGCAGCAGUAGGGAAUCUUCCACAAUGGACGAAAGUCUGAUGGAGCAACGCCGCGUGAGUGAUGAAGGUUUUCGGAUCGUAAAACUCUGUUGUAAGGGAAGAACACGUACGAGAGGAAAUGCUCGUACCUUGACGGUACCUUACGAGAAAGCCACGGCUAACUACGUGCCAGCCGCCGCCGUAA